UCCAGACUCCUACGGGAGGCAGCAGUGAGGAAUAUUGGUCAAUGGGCUUACGCCUGAACCAGCCAAGUCGCGUGAGGGAAGACUGCCCUAUGGGUUGUAAACCUCUUUUGUCAGGGAGCAACGCCGGCUACGUGUAGCCGGACUGAGAGUACCUGAAGAAAAAGCAUCGGCUAACUCCGUGCCAGCAGCCGCGGUAAUACAUAGGGAGCAAGCGUUAUCCGGAUUUAUUGGGUGUAAAGGGUGCGUAGACGGGAAAUUAAGUUAGUUGUGAAAUCCCUCGGCUUAACUGAGGAACUGCAACUAAAACUGAUUUUCUUGAGUACUGGAGAGGAAAGUGGAAUUCCUAGUGUAGCGGUGAAAUGCGCAGAUAUUAGGAGGAACACCAGUGGCGAAGGCGACUUUCUGGACAGUAACUGACGUUGAGGCACGAAAGUGUGGGGAGCAAACAGGAUUAGAUACCCCCGUAA
RNAcentral lists this ribosomal RNA (467 nucleotides) under uncultured bacterium. RNAcentral describes it as "bacterial SSU rRNA". It matches the Rfam family "Bacterial small subunit ribosomal RNA", at positions 330 to 793 of the family's 1533-position model. The record is from RNAcentral.